UCACAGUGAACUGAUGCUUGUGAUGCUCGC
Molecule: non-coding RNA, 30 nt
Filed under: Mus musculus (house mouse)
Lineage: Eukaryota; Metazoa; Chordata; Mammalia; Rodentia; Muridae
Source: RNAcentral